This 139-nucleotide ribosomal RNA is filed under the name uncultured eukaryote. RNAcentral describes it as "partial 18S ribosomal RNA". It matches the Rfam family "Eukaryotic small subunit ribosomal RNA", at positions 1299 to 1458 of the family's 1831-position model. The record is from RNAcentral.
UGGUGGAGUGAUCUGUCUGGUUGAUUCCGUUAACAACGAGACCUCAGCCUACUAAAUAAUUGUAUUAAUGCUGUGCAUUGAUAUCAACUUCUUAGAGGGACUUUGGGUGUCGAGCCCAAGGAAGUUUGAGGCAAUAACA